RNAcentral lists this ribosomal RNA (755 nucleotides) under uncultured bacterium. Its description in RNAcentral is "bacterial SSU rRNA". It matches the Rfam family "Bacterial small subunit ribosomal RNA", at positions 35 to 773 of the family's 1533-position model. The record is from RNAcentral.
GCUGGCGGCGUGCCUAAUACAUGCAAGUUGAGCGCUGAAGGUUGGUACUUGUACCAACUGGAUGAGCAGCGAACGGGUGAGUAACGCGUGGGGAAUCUGCCUUUGAGCGGGGGACAACAUUUGGAAACGAAUGCUAAUACCGCAUAAAAACUUUAAACACAAGUUUUAAGUUUGAAAGAUGCAAUUGCAUCACUCAAAGAUGAUCCCGCGUUGUAUUAGCUAGUUGGUGAGGUAAAGGCUCACCAAGGCGAUGAUACAUAGCCGACCUGAGAGGGUGAUCGGCCACAUUGGGACUGAGACACGGCCCAAACUCCUACGGGAGGCAGCAGUAGGGAAUCUUCGGCAAUGGACGAAAGUCUGACCGAGCAACGCCGCGUGAGUGAAGAAGGUUUUCGGAUCGUAAAACUCUGUUGGUAGAGAAGAACGUUGGUGAGAGUGGAAAGCUCAUCAAGUGACGGUAACUACCCAGAAAGGGACGGCUAACUACGUGCCAGCAGCCGCGGUAAUACGUAGGUCCCGAGCGUUGUCCGGAUUUAUUGGGCGUAAAGCGAGCGCAGGUGGUUUAUUAAGUCUGGUGUAAAAGGCAGUGGCUCAACCAUUGUAUGCAUUGGAAACUGGUAGACUUGAGUGCAGGAGAGGAGAGUGGAAUUCCAUGUGUAGCGGUGAAAUGCGUAGAUAUAUGGAGGAACACCGGUGGCGAAAGCGGCUCUCUGGCCUGUAACUGACACUGAGGCUCGAAAGCGUGGGGAGCAAGC